Molecule: transfer RNA, 73 nt
Filed under: Bacteroidota bacterium
Lineage: Bacteria; Pseudomonadati; Bacteroidota
Description: Bacteroidetes bacterium tRNA-Arg
Rfam family: tRNA
About the family: Transfer RNA (tRNA) molecules are approximately 80 nucleotides in length. Their secondary structure includes four short double-helical elements and three loops (D, anti-codon, and T loops).
Source: RNAcentral
GCCCUGUUAGUGUAAUGGAUUAGCACAAGACUCUUCUAAAGUUUUAGUACAGGUUCGAAUCCUGUACGGGGUA